Long non-coding RNA from Ipomoea nil (Japanese morning glory), 1225 nucleotides. RefSeq lists it as uncharacterized. The record is from RefSeq and is a predicted model, not a curated record. Lineage: Eukaryota; Viridiplantae; Streptophyta; Magnoliopsida; Solanales; Convolvulaceae. The transcript has 2 exons.
CAUAUGUAUAGUUAAAACUACUUUUAUAAUCAUUACUAUUAUUAUUCAAAAAAGCUCUUAAGUUUUAUGCAUUUUUUUUCAAAGUGUUGUAGGGGAUUUCUUGCUAUAGUAUGUGCAAGUUUCUCGAUUUCUUUCUUUUUAAAUUUGUGUUAGCAUGUGAUUGUAUUUUUUUUUAUUUUUAUGUUUAAAUUUUUUAAUCUCUAAUGAAAAGAAGUAGAUUUGAACUAAUUAAGGUGCAUGUGAAAUUUUAAAACAAAAUUGUGCAAAAUCCUAAAACAAAUGGAAGUUUAACGACAAGUUAUUCGGGGGACCAAAUUGAUAACGUUUGAAACAAUUUGAGGGACUGGACUUCUAAAAACUGACAAUAAAGGACAAUUGCAUAAUGAAUAACAAUUGAGGGACCAAAAGUGCAAUUUUCCCACAAAUGUUUUAACAAUAAUAAUAAUAAUAAUAGAUUGCAUUAGAUUACAUACAAACUAAGAAGGCUAGACAUGCUUAUAUAAGGAUAUAAUGAGCCUAACUAAUGGGCUAGGUUACAACUAGAGUUAUGGUUUCUAUUUUCUAUAUUUCAAGACUAUAUGACUUGAUCAUUAUUAGAAGGUGAUGAAUUUGGGGAUUUAGUCACAUGAAUGGUUGCUGAAGUGCUAAGGUUGUCUUAUUUGAGCCCUUAUGUUUCAGGAGUAUCAUACCUUAAAAUAUUGUAAAAAAGGGGAAAAGGAGAAGAACAAGUUGCGUGUGUUGUGUCCAACAAUUAUGAUAUUUGGCCGUUUGUGGCACUUAGAGAGUUCAUUAAUAAAUUACUGAUUCAUUCAUUCAUUAAUAUUUUGUCUCUUAUAGAAUUCUUUUUCAUGAAUCUUAUUGUUCAUGUUCCGAACAAACAUGACCGAGCUUACUUUACUGGCACUUAUGUGGCAUAGGUCAAGAAUUUUACGGGAUGCUUCCUUCUAAAGUGACCUUGGACCACCUCUCAUGUUACUCAUUUAUGCUCAAAGGGAACUAGUAAUACUUUUACUAUUCUUAAACUUGCGUUUAAGCAACCUUUCUGAACUCAAGUUAGGGAUAGUUUAACUAUUCUAAUAGAAACUUUUACACGGUUGUGAUCAACUUAAUCGUUUUGAAGAUGAAAAGAAUGAGCCAAUAUGGUUGUCUUCAGUGACCUUAGACCUUAGUUCCCAUUUUUGAAUAAAUAUUCAAUGCUUUAUUAGCUAUAAAUGCAAUUCGAACA